GGACACCUUCCAGAAGCAGGCUGUACUCAAACUAGAAGAGCACGAGAAUGUGUUUGUAGCAGCUCACACGUCUGCUGGCAAGACAGCAGUGGCCGAAUACGCUAUAGCCAUCUCUCUACGAUCAAAACAGCGAGCUAUCUACACGUCUCCUAUAAAAGCCCC
This is a long non-coding RNA of Homalodisca vitripennis (glassy-winged sharpshooter), 162 nucleotides long. RefSeq lists it as uncharacterized. The record is from RefSeq and is a predicted model, not a curated record. Lineage: Eukaryota; Metazoa; Arthropoda; Insecta; Hemiptera; Cicadellidae. The transcript has 3 exons.